GCCUUUUGCAAUGAUAUGGCUUUCUUUUAUACGGCAUUUUUUUUUUUUUGGAUGCGAUGAUGGCUUUCCCUGGACUGACAGAAAAAAAAAGAAAAAAAAGGGAGGGGUAAAUAUUGAAAAAUAGUGAUAUAGAAUAUUGAAAAAUAGUAAAAUGGAUAGCAACUAGCAACUUUUAGAUUGGACCUGAGCGCAGCGUCUGAAGCGCGUUUCGUCGGCGCCUUCGCUUGCCGUUGAUUCCUGGGUGGAGACAAAAACACUUAUCUCUCUUUCUCCGCCCGAUUAGCUCUCCCUUCAAAUUUAUAGACGACAGGAGAGAAAGGAAACGGCAGCGGAAGGCAACCGGCCAACUCCCCAAUCCUAACGCGCCCCC
RNAcentral lists this long non-coding RNA (370 nucleotides) under Elaeis guineensis (African oil palm). Its description in RNAcentral is "long non-coding RNA (EGUI_LNC000757)". Lineage: Eukaryota; Viridiplantae; Streptophyta; Magnoliopsida; Arecales; Arecaceae. The record is from RNAcentral.